AAAACUCACUCCGAGGAUACGGUAUUAGUAGUCAUGGGUAGGGGAGCUGCCCAUACGGGUUGAAGCAGGACCGUAAGGACAUGUGGACAGUAUGGGAGUGAGAAUGUUGGCAUGAGUAGCGGGAUGUGGGUGGGAAUCCCACAGGCCGUAAACCCAAGGUUUCCAGGGGAAGGUUCGUCCGCCCUGGGUUAGUCGGGACCUAAGCUGAGGCCGAAAGGCGUAGGUGAUGGACAACAGGUUGAUAUUCCUGUACUACCGAUAACCGUUUGAGAGAAGGGAUGACACAGUAGGAUAAGCUAAGCACA
This 305-nucleotide ribosomal RNA is filed under the name Clostridioides difficile. RNAcentral's name for it is "bacterial LSU rRNA". It matches the Rfam family "Bacterial large subunit ribosomal RNA", at positions 1184 to 1495 of the family's 2925-position model. Lineage: Bacteria; Bacillati; Bacillota; Clostridia; Peptostreptococcales; Peptostreptococcaceae. The record is from RNAcentral.